GCCCAAGAGAUCGGGAUAACACCUGGAAACANAUGCUAAUACCGGAUAACAACAGAUGAUGCCUAUCAACUGUUUAAAAGAUGGUUCUGCUAUCACUCUUGGAUGGACCUGCGGUGCAUUAGCUAGUUGGUAGGGUAACGGCCUACCAAGGCGAUGAUGCAUAGCCGAGUUGAGAGGCUGAUCGGCCACAUUGGGACUGAGACACGGCCCAAACUCCUACGGGAGGCAGCAGCG
RNAcentral lists this ribosomal RNA (234 nucleotides) under uncultured Lactobacillus sp. RNAcentral's name for it is "partial 16S ribosomal RNA". It matches the Rfam family "Bacterial small subunit ribosomal RNA", at positions 128 to 356 of the family's 1533-position model. The record is from RNAcentral. Lineage: Bacteria; Bacillati; Bacillota; Bacilli; Lactobacillales; Lactobacillaceae.